This 252-nucleotide unclassified non-coding RNA is filed under the name Rattus norvegicus (Norway rat). The record is from RNAcentral. Lineage: Eukaryota; Metazoa; Chordata; Mammalia; Rodentia; Muridae.
AUGGACGUGUUUCUCAUGAUCCGGCGCCACAAGACCACCAUCUUUACGGACGCCAAGGAGUCGAGCACGGUGUUCGAACUGAAGCGCAUCGUCGAGGGCAUCCUCAAGCGGCCGCCAGAGGAGCAGCGGCUGUACAAGGACGACCAGCUCCUUGAUGAUGGAAAAACUCUGGGCGAAUGUGGCUUCACCAGUCAGACAGCAAGGCCACAGGCCCCAGCCACAGUGGGCCUGGCCUUUCGAGCAGAUGACACC